AACGAUAUAGUGGCAGACGGGUGAGUAACGCGUGGAAACGUGCCUUUCACUACGGAAUAGCUUUUGGAAACGAAAGGUAAUACCGUAUACGCCCUCCGGGGGAAAGAUUUAUCGGUGAAAGAUCGGUCCGCGUUAGAUUAGCUAGUUGGUGAGGUAACGGCUCACCAAGGCUACGAUCUAUAGCUGGUCUGAGAGGAUGAUCAGCCACACUGGGACUGAGACACGGCCCAGACUCCUACGGGAGGCAGCAGUGGGGAAUAUUGCACAAUGGGCGCAAGCCUGAUGCAGCCAUGCCGCGUGAAUGAUGAAGGCCUUAGGGUUGUAAAAUUCUUUCGCCAGGGAUGAUAAUGACAGUACCUGGUAAGGAAGCCCCGGCUAACUUCGUGCCAGCAGCCGCGGUAAUACGAAGGGGGCUAGCGUUGUUCGGAAUUACUGGGCGUAAAGCGCACGUAGGCGGACUUUUAAGUCAGAUGUGAAAUCCCGAGGCUCAACCUCGGAACUGCAUUUGAAACUGGGAGUCUAGAGAUCAGGAGAGGUUAGCGGAAUACCGAGUGUAGAGGUGAAAUUCGUAGAUAUUCGGUGGAACACCAGUGGCGAAGGCGGCUAACUGGACUGAUACUGACGCUGAGGUGCGAAAGUGUGGGGAGCAAACAGGAUUAGAUACCCUGGUAGUCCACACCGUAAACGAUGAGUGCUAGUUGUCUGCAGGCAUGCCUGUAGGUGACGCAGCUAACGCAUUAAGCACUCCGCCUGGGGAGUACGGCCGCAAGGUUAAAACUCAAAGAAAUUGACGGGGGCCCGCACAAGCGGCGGAGCAUGUGGUUUAAUUC
Molecule: ribosomal RNA, 830 nt
Filed under: uncultured bacterium
Lineage: Bacteria
Description: bacterial SSU rRNA
Rfam family: Bacterial small subunit ribosomal RNA
Source: RNAcentral